RNAcentral lists this ribosomal RNA (551 nucleotides) under uncultured bacterium. RNAcentral's name for it is "bacterial SSU rRNA". It matches the Rfam family "Bacterial small subunit ribosomal RNA", at positions 338 to 861 of the family's 1533-position model. The record is from RNAcentral.
CCUACGGGAGGCAGCAGUGGGGAAUUUUGGACAAUGGGCGAAAGCCUGAUCCAGCAAUGCCGCGUGAGUGAAGAAGGCCUUCGGGUUGUAAAGCUCUUUUGUCAGGGAAGAAACGGUGAGAGCUAAUAUCUCUUGCUAAUGACGGUACCUGAAGAAUAAGCACCGGCUAACUACGUGCCAGCAGCCGCGGUAAUACGUAGGGUGCAAGCGUUAAUCGGAAUUACUGGGCGUAAAGCGUGCGCAGGCGGUUUUGUAAGUCUGUCGUGAAAUCCCCGGGCUCAACCUGGGAAUUGCGAUGGAGACUGCAAGGCUAGAAUCUGGCAGAGGGGGGUAGAAUUCCACGUGUAGCAGUGAAAUGCGUAGAGAUGUGGAGGAACACCGAUGGCGAAGGCAGCCCCCUGGGUCAAGAUUGACGCUCAUGCACGAAACGACGGUGGGGAGGACGAAACGAAGGAAGUUAGUAUACCUACGGUAGUACCGACCGACCCGUAAACCGAACUAGUCUACUAGUUAGGUUCGGGUUUUAAGUUUAACGUUUAGGUUAACGUACG